RNAcentral lists this ribosomal RNA (929 nucleotides) under uncultured Microbacteriaceae bacterium. RNAcentral describes it as "bacterial SSU rRNA". It matches the Rfam family "Bacterial small subunit ribosomal RNA", at positions 45 to 983 of the family's 1533-position model. The record is from RNAcentral. Lineage: Bacteria; Bacillati; Actinomycetota; Actinomycetes; Micrococcales; Microbacteriaceae.
GGCCUAACACAUGCAAGUCGAACGGUGAUAGAGGAGCUUGCUCCUCUGGAUCAGUGGCGAACGGGUGAGUGACACGUGAGUAACCUGCCCUUGACUCUGGGAUAAGCACUGGAAACGGUGUCUAAUACCGGAUACGACCCUCGGAGGCAUCUCCUGGGGGUGGAAAGAAUUUCGGUCAAGGAUGGACUCGCGGCCUAUCAGCUAGUUGGUGAGGUAAUGGCCCACCAAGGCGACGACGGGUAGCCGGCCUGAGAGGGUGACCGGCCACACUGGGACUGAGACACGGCCCAGACUCCUACGGGAGGCAGCAGUGGGGAAUAUUGCACAAUGGGCGCAAGCCUGAUGCAGCAACGCCGCGUGAGGGACGACGGCCUUCGGGUUGUAAACCUCUUUUAGUAGGGAAGAAGCGAAAGUGACGGUACCUGCAGAAAAAGCACCGGCUAACUACGUGCCAGCAGCCGCGGUAAUACGUAGGGUGCAAGCGUUAUCCGGAAUUAUUGGGCGUAAAGAGCUCGUAGGCGGUUUGUCGCGUCUGCUGUGAAAACUGGAGGCUCAACCUCCAGCCUGCAGUGGGUACGGGCAGACUAGAGUGCGGUAGGGGAGAUUGGAAUUCCUGGUGUAGCGGUGGAAUGCGCAGAUAUCAGGAGGAACACCGAUGGCGAAGGCAGAUCUCUGGGCCGUAACUGACGCUGAGGAGCGAAAGCAUGGGGAGCGAACAGGAUUAGAUACCCUGGUAGUCCAUGCCGUAAACGUUGGGAACUAGAUGUAGGGACCAUUCCACGGUUUCUGUGUCGCAGCUAACGCAUUAAGUUCCCCGCCUGGGGAGUACGGCCGCAAGGCUAAAACUCAAAGGAAUUGACGGGGGCCCGCACAAGCGGCGGAGCAUGCGGAUUAAUUCGAUGCAACGCGAAGAACCUUACCAAGGCUUG